CGUGCAGGCGGUUCUGUAAGUCGGACGUGAAAGCUCCUGGCUUAACUGGGAGAGGCCGUUCGAUACUGCGGGACUUGAGGUCGGGAGAGGGACGUGGAACUCCCGGUGUAGUGGUGGAAUGCGUAGAUAUCGGGAGGAACACCAGUGGCGAAGGCGGCGUCCUGGCCCGCACCUGACGCUAAGACGCGAAAGCGUGGGUAGCGAACG
RNAcentral lists this ribosomal RNA (207 nucleotides) under uncultured bacterium. Its description in RNAcentral is "partial 16S ribosomal RNA". It matches the Rfam family "Bacterial small subunit ribosomal RNA", at positions 568 to 774 of the family's 1533-position model. The record is from RNAcentral.